GAUGAACGCUGGCGGCGUGCCUAAUACAUGCCAGUCGAGCGAACAGACGAGGAGCUUGCUCCUUUGACGUUAGCGGCGGACGGGUGAGUAACACGUGGGUAACCUACCUAUAAGACUGGGAUAACUUCGGGAAACCGGAGCUAAUACCGGAUAAUAUUUCGAACCGCAUGGUUCGAUAGUGAAAGAUGGCUUUGCUAUCACUUAUAGAUGGACCUGCGCCGUAUUAGCUAGUUGGUAGGGUAACGGCUUACCAAGGCAACGAUACGUAGCCGACCUGAGAGGGGGUUGGACCACACAGAAGGGGAGAGACGCUCCGAACUCUAACGGGGGGCGCCGGUGGGGAAUCUACGGCACUGGGGGAAGGCGUAAGGGGCAACGGCGCCGUGGGUGAGAAGGGGGUUGGGGUGUUAAAACCCUGUUUUGCGGGAGAAGCAAACGUGUAGGUAACGGGGCAGGUUUGAAGGUAACUGAAUAAGAAGCCCCGGCUAACUACGUG
RNAcentral lists this ribosomal RNA (496 nucleotides) under uncultured bacterium. Its description in RNAcentral is "partial 16S ribosomal RNA". It matches the Rfam family "Bacterial small subunit ribosomal RNA", at positions 28 to 507 of the family's 1533-position model. The record is from RNAcentral.